GGCACCGUGGCGGAGUGGUGACGCAGCGGAUUGCAAAUCCGUGUACCCCGGUUCGAUUCCGGGCGGUGCCU
This 71-nucleotide transfer RNA is filed under the name Maricaulis maris. RNAcentral describes it as "tRNA-Cys". It matches the Rfam family "tRNA". Rfam says of the family: Transfer RNA (tRNA) molecules are approximately 80 nucleotides in length. Their secondary structure includes four short double-helical elements and three loops (D, anti-codon, and T loops). RNAcentral also lists the same sequence under 1 other name. The record is from RNAcentral. Lineage: Bacteria; Pseudomonadati; Pseudomonadota; Alphaproteobacteria; Maricaulales; Maricaulaceae.